AGAACGAACGCUGGCGGCGCGCUUAACACAUGCAAGUCGAGCGCCUUGGGCUUUCGGGCUCAAGGAGCGGCGCACGGGUGCGUAACGCGUGGGAACCUACCCUGGGGUUCGGGACAACGGCGGGAAACCGCCGCUAACACCGGCUACGGCCGUGGCGACACGGCGAAAGGCGCCUUGGCGCCGCCCUGGGACGGGCCCGCGUCCGAUUAGGUAGACGGUGGGGUAACGGCCCACCGUGCCGGUGAUCGGUAGCCGGUCUGAGAGGAUGAUCGGCCACACUGGGACUGAGACACGGCCCAGACUCCUACGGGAGGCAGCAGUGGGGAAUCUUGGACAAUGGGGGCAACCCUGAUCCAGCGACGCCGCGUGGGUGAUGAAGGCCUUCGGGUUGUAAAGCCCUUUUGCCGGGGACGAUGAUGACGGUACCCGGCGAAUAAGCACCGGCUAACUCCGUGCCAGCAGCCGC
Molecule: ribosomal RNA, 466 nt
Filed under: uncultured bacterium
Lineage: Bacteria
Description: SSU rRNA
Rfam family: Bacterial small subunit ribosomal RNA
Source: RNAcentral